RNAcentral lists this ribosomal RNA (68 nucleotides) under Serratia odorifera. RNAcentral describes it as "partial 16S ribosomal RNA". It matches the Rfam family "Bacterial small subunit ribosomal RNA", at positions 1469 to 1533 of the family's 1533-position model. The record is from RNAcentral. Lineage: Bacteria; Pseudomonadati; Pseudomonadota; Gammaproteobacteria; Enterobacterales; Yersiniaceae.
UCAUGACUGGGGUGAAGUCGUAACAAGGUAACCGUAGGGGAACCUGCGGUUGGAUCACCUCCUUACCU